UUUUAUGGCCCUACUGCCCUAAACAUUCCCAAACUGGUCUGAUCUCAGAAGCUAGGCAGGGCCUGGUCUGGUCAGCACUUGGAGAGAAGACUGCCUGGGAACAGGCAGUAGGCUUAAAUU
Ribosomal RNA from Cebus imitator (Panamanian white-faced capuchin), 120 nucleotides. NCBI's taxonomy places the organism in Eukaryota, Metazoa, Chordata, Mammalia, Primates, Cebidae. The record is from Ensembl.